CUUGCUCGGAAAUUACUCCUGCAUGGAAAUUCUCUCGUAGGAGUUGCUGUCAGCUCCCUAGGAUGGCUUUCUGGCCCUGGUGGUGGUUUUAAAAGAUUCUGAACCACAAACGAAGACUUGAUUUUUAUUGAGUGGAGUGGAACCUAACUUAACCUAUUGCCUUGCUCGGAAAUUACUUCUGCAUGGAAAUUCUCUCGUCGGUGUUGCUGUCAGAGUUCCCUAGGAUGGUUUUCUGUGGCCUUGAACAAUUCUCAUAAUAGCGUAACAUAACAUAAUCCCUGACUAAGCUAUUUAAGAACCCGGUCACCUGACUUAAGCCAAUCUCCGAGGCCAGUCGCGUGUUGCUCAGAGACUCUUGCGCCAUGAAUCUUCUCUCUACGUAAUCCCCUUGAGAAUGACUUUCAAGGUGGCAGAUCUUAAGGUCGUCGUGUGCUCAGCCGUAAUCCAUUUGCAAGGUGUUUUAAUGUGUUUUUAUGUGCUGGUUAAGUCUUGCCUCAGGUGUCGAGAUUGGGGGUGGAUUAUAGUGUGUGUGUGCGUGUGUUUGUGUGUGUGGGUGGGGGGAGGAAAAAGGAAAGGAAGGAAGGAUAGAUGUGUGUGUGUGUGUGUGUGUGUGUGUAGGGAGGAAAAAGAGGAGGAGGAAAAAGGGAAGGAAAGGAAAGGAAGGAUAGAUGUGUGUGUGUGUGGGUGUGGGUGUAUGGGUGGAGGGAGGAAAAAGGAAAGGAAGGAAGGAUAGAUGUGUGUGUGUGUGUGUGUGUGUGUGGGUGGAGGGAGGAAAAAGAGGAGGAGGAAGGAAAAGGGAAGGAAAGGAAAGGAAGGAUAGAUGUGUGUGUGUGUGUGUGUGUGUGUGUGUGUGUGUGUUGCAAUGGAAGGCUGUGUGUGGAUGACUUGACAAGGUUAUUCUUCCACCAAGACAGUUUCCCCUGACCCCAGAGAUGAUUAACCCUCUAGCUGCGGAACAUGAGUGGGCAAGAGUCCUUUCUAUGCGAAUUACCGGCCCUUAACUAUAAUUCAGACCAAAAGGAGUUCAAAUGUGUAUCAUCUUACUCAUCUCAGUUUUAUGCAGCCACUAAAAUAUUUCAAGAGGAAGUUUUUUUUUUCUGUAUGUCUAUAGCACUGGUAGGCUUACUUGAGGGGCCUAGAUGGUGUUCGGCCCCAGCCCAUCAUGGCGCAAGCAAGUGUUUAUAGUGGCGCCAUCUUCUCUUAUCAGGACACCUCUUCUCACGUAACUGACUGGUCUUUCCGCCACUUCUUUGGAUUCUUUACAGGAGCAGCGAGUAGCGGGCUUUUUUUUAUAUUAUUGCUUCCUUUUUUUAUGCCCUUGUGCUGUCUCAUGAAUAUCCCAGUAACUUCCCGUACGAUCAUUCCCAGGGCCACAGAGAAGGAUAGCUGGAUUUUCAAGGGUGAUUUUUCUGUCCAAGGUUCAGAGGUCGCGUAAAACUAUCACUGGGGUCACAAAAUAGUCCAUGAAAUCCCAGCAACUUCCCGUACGAUCAUUCCCAGGGCCACAGAGAAGGUUAGCUGGAUUUUCAAGGGUGGUUUUUCCGUCCAAGGUUCAGAGGUCGCGUAAAACUAUCACUGGGGUCACAAAAUAGUCCAUGAAAUCCCAGCAACUUCCCGUACGAUCAUUCCCAGGGCCACAGAGAAGGUUAAGUGGAUUUUUGAGUGUGAUUUUUCCCUUUCAAAGUGCAGAAGUUGUGUAAAACUAUCACUGGGGUCACAAAACAGUCCAUUGAAAUCCCAGCAACUUCCCGUACGAUCAUUCCCAGGGCCACAGAGAGAAUUAGCUGGAUUUUCGAGGGUGAUUUUUCCGUUGAAGAGAAAUAUGAAAAUGAAGGAAAAACAGAAAAAUGAUAAAAAUAAAGUUGAAAAAUAAUUAAGAAUGAGUUAGAGAAAUGCAAAUAAGAUGAAUAUGAAGAAAAAAUGAUACAAUAAGAGGAAGUAGAAGAAGAAAUUGAGUUAGAAAAAUAUGAAAAAAAAGGAAAAAUAGACCAACACUGGGGUCGCAAAAUGGUCCACGAAAACACAGCAACUUCAACUAUGAGAGGCUUUUCAAACAGGCAAUUUAGAGGGGGCUUCGUGGUGCAGUGGUUAGCACACUCGGCUCACAACCAAGAGAGCCCGGGUUCGAUUCCCGGGCGGAGUGGAAAAAUUUGGGCGGCUUUUCCGAUACCCUACGCCCCUGUCCACCCAGCAGUGAAUGGGGGUUGUGUCCCGUCUCCUGGGAUCUGUACCCUUCUCCUAUAAUUGCUUCCCCUUCUGUCUCUCUCCGGCAUAUGACCACAGAUGUUGCGCCGACUAAACAAAACUUUUCCAAGCAGUUUAUAACGUCGAUAUGUAUAAGAAAUUGGACGAGAGAGGUAUUAUAUGAAAAUGCUUUACUAAUAGAGUGCUUUUACUUAUAAGAGUGUGCUUGUAGUAGUAGUAGUAAUAGUAGUAGUAGUAGUAAUGUAGAAUGUGCUUUGAUGUGUGUGUGUGUGUGUGUGUGUGGUUACGAGCUUUCAAUAAUGCCUUCCCUAAUACACCAUUGUUGUUGUUACUAUUAUUAAUAUUAUCAUUGUUUUCUUAGCACAGUUAGACAUUUUAAUAUAUAGAUAGACUUUUGUUAAUAUAUUUUGGAUUUGUUUAACUUAUUUAUUUUGCUCUUUGUGUGUGUUAGUGAGUUAGUGGUUUGUGAAGGCAUGUUAGAAUUUUUUGAUUUUAAUGUUGAUAGUCCCUUUUUUUUUGUAACCUUCUUCUUCUUCUUCUUCUUUUCCUUCCUCUAUUUCUUCUUCUUCUUUUCCCUCUUCUAUUUCUUCUUCUUCUUCUUCUGCUUCUAAUUUUUCCUUCUUCUUUUCCUUCUUCUUCUUCUUCUUUUUCUUUUCCUUCUUCUAUUUCUUCUUCUUCUUCUGCUUCUAAUUUUUCCUUCUUCUAUUUCUUCUUCUUCUUCUUCUUCUGCUUCUAAUUUUUCCUUCUUCUUUUCCUUCUUCUUCUUCUUCUUCUUCUUCUUCUUCUUCUUCUUCUUCUUCUUCUUCUUCUUUUCCUUUUCUUCUUUUCCUUCUUCUUCUUCUUCUUCUUCUUCUUCAUCUUCAUUCCUAUAUACCCAGCAUCUCUCCUCCUCCUCUUCCUCCUCCUCCUCCUCCUCCUAUCCCAAAAUAAUCUCCCUCCUUUUCCUCCCUUCUGAAACCUCUCAUUCACCUCCUCCUCCUCCUUCUAUCCCAAAAUCAACUCCAUCUCCAUUUCCUCCUUUCAAAACCUCUCAUUCACCUCUUCCUCCUCCUCCUCCUCCUCCUCCAUUUCCUCUUCAAAACCUCUCAUUCACCUAAUAACCUCCUAUUGCUAAUUUUCUAACAUAAUCUUCUCCUUGUAUUCAGGGUAUCACUUUCAAUGGCAGGGUAUUAGCUCGGUGACUAAGGCUUUUUCUGUAAGCUUCUUCAGGUCGUCAAUAGGCAGUAGUUUGUAAGUCGAGGCUAAUACUUCUUAGGGUUGUACAAAUGACUUGCUGUUCGGACUUUUUCUAUUUCUCUCUCUUCCUCUCUCUCUCGCUCGCUCACUUGCCCCAUUUGACGAGGCUUUCCAGGGGUAGUUUUAUGAGCCUGGUGGUAGUUUGACUCUUCCUCUGUACUGUGACCCUGAGAAACAUGUAUUUGACAGGGCUUUCGUAGGAGUUUUGGGCAUUUCCAGAGGUAGUUUAGCCCUUCUGUACUGUGAGCCUAAAUAAAAAUGAUUGAGAAGGCUUUUGUAGGAGUUUUGGGCAUUUCCAGAGGUAGUUUGACCCUUCUUCUGUACUGUGAGCCUAAAGAAACAUAUUUGAUAAGGCUUUCGUAGGAGUUUUGGGCAUUUCCAGAGGUAGUUUGACCCUUCCUCUGUACCAUGACCCUAGGAAAACACAUAUUUGACAAGGCUUUCACAGGAGUUGUGGGCAUUUCCAGGGGUAAUUUUAUGACCCUAAGAAAACAUUUAUUUGACAAGGCUUUCAUAGGAGUUUUGGGCAUUUCCUUUCAUACAUAAAAUCUUUCUAUCUAUCUAUCUUUCUAUCUAUAACUUUCCGAGCAUAGAGCAUGUGUGUGUUUGUGUGUGUGUGUGUGUGUGUGACCUCCCCUC
Molecule: long non-coding RNA, 4080 nt
Organism: Eriocheir sinensis (Chinese mitten crab)
Lineage: Eukaryota; Metazoa; Arthropoda; Malacostraca; Decapoda; Varunidae
Exons: 3
Source: RefSeq, a predicted model, not a curated record